UACGGGGGGGGCAAGCGUUGUCCGGAAUCAUUGGGCGUAAAGGGCGCGUAGGCGGGAUGGUAAGUCAGGGGUGAAAAUCUCGUGCUUAACACGGGACUUGCCUUUGAAACUGCCAUUCUUGAGUACGGAAGAGGGAAGUGGAAUUCCCGGUGUAGCGGUGAAAUGCGUAGAUAUCGGGAAGAACACCAGUAGCGAAGGCGGCUUCCUGGUCCGUUACUGACGAUGAGGCGCGAAAGCGUGGGGAGCAAACAGG
This 253-nucleotide ribosomal RNA is filed under the name uncultured bacterium. RNAcentral describes it as "partial 16S ribosomal RNA". It matches the Rfam family "Bacterial small subunit ribosomal RNA", at positions 524 to 776 of the family's 1533-position model. The record is from RNAcentral.